This 1268-nucleotide long non-coding RNA is filed under the name Rhagoletis pomonella (apple maggot). Its description in RNAcentral is "uncharacterized LOC118752093". The record is from RNAcentral. Lineage: Eukaryota; Metazoa; Arthropoda; Insecta; Diptera; Tephritidae.
CUCUCUAUAAACGUUGUUUUCUUCUCUUUUCCUCUCUGCUCUCUUUUCUUCGUCUCAUGCAGGUAUUUUUUGAUUUGAUGCGCGAAAUAAGAUCCCGCAAAACCGAAGAUUCGAAAGCGACUAGUGGGCGUGCUAAAGACAGAUGCAAGAAGCGGAGACUUAAGUGUACACUACUUUAGGCGUAUUUCUAGGUGCAUAAGCCAGACUUUAAGCCAAUAAUAAAAAAAAAUUAAACAAACAAAAAAAAAAACAGAAAAAUGCGAAAACAAAAACAAAUACACUCAUGAACAAAUACAAUGGUAAAGAAGCGAACAAAGCAAAAUAAAAGCCCCUAACUCUACUUUCCCCAUCCACAAAGACAUCACAUCGAAUUGAUAACAAUACCUAGCUGAUAUACAUAUGAAAUGUGUAACUACAGAAAUCCUAACCGAAAUAUGUACUGAGAAAAUCGUUUGUAGUAUUUUAUGAUCUAAUCAGGGAUAUUUCAUCACGAAAGAAGCAACGUCAGUCCGAUGUGCGACAGCCGCCAAAAACCAAAUCUCACUGCUGCCAACUGCUCUAAUAAUCAUGAGAGAGAAAUAAAAUCAAAACUGAAAAUUACAAAAAUGUAACGACGCCGCUGAAUACAAGCUAUAAAUGCCGAUAAUAACUAUGAAAAUGACGACGAAUGUAUAAAAAAAAAACAAUACUAUAUACAAAAAACUACAGUCCUGCAGGAAGAGAAAGAAGAACUUUUGAAAAAAAAAACGAAGAUAAAAAUGCUAUGCGAAAUAUGCGCGAGCGCAUCGCGGACAAGCUGUUGCAUAGAAAAGCAAAAACAACUCAAUUUAUGCAUAGAUUUGUAAAAAAAGAAACUCUGAAGCACAUAUAUGUACAUGCGACUGUAUUUGUAGGAGAAAAAGCAAUUACAUAUAAACCCAAUUCACGCAUUGUAUUGUAUUGCAUUCAAAAUAAGAAAAAAAUGAAGAAACAACCAAAAUAUACUACAUACUUACAUAAACCUUGCAGACUUUAUUAAUCAUAUACCUAUAUAUACAGCAUAUGUAUUAUUAAAAAAACAAGCGCAUACAUACAUACAUACAUACAUACAUGCUUACUUACUUACAUCCGUACAUACCAAUUUCAAAUCAAUCUACAUAAGUUUCAAUUUGUAUUGUAAAUUAAGCUUAAGCCGAACACAAUAUGUUUUAUAGACAUAGUACAUACAUGCCUAUGUUUUACGUGUAUUGUGUACAGAAAUAAACUGCUCUUUUCAAUUGUAAAAAAAA